AAUCCCAAAUUGCCCGCGUACUGUUGUUUUUCCCUCCUUCUUUGUUGUCCCUCUGCUUAGUCGUCCCUCUGCAUCUCUCUCCUCCAUCGUCUUUUUGCAGUUUUCCAUCGGGGACGCCAUCAGUUCACCUGUGCCUUCUCGCCUCCUCUUAACGCCAUUAAUGUUGCAGCUUUGGUGUGCUUUACUUCCAUGGAAGAGAAGAAAACAGCAACUGGCAUUGGGAUAAAACCAUACUCAUGAAACGAGCUCCUCUAUUUGCAGCUAGGAUCAAUGAAGGUAUCCAGUUUUGAGAAGAAGAGUUGAAGAAUGCAGUUUUGAGAUCAUGAAGAAGACAACUUCCAAUGGAUGAUCACGACAUGCUUAGGAAACCUUAGUUACCCUAUAUUGAAGAUGGGAGGACACCUAUGAAACAAUAUUAAUAUAUUGUGGGAUGUUAACUUAGACUAAACUGUCAUAACUGUCAUGAAUUUCAAUUUGAACUUUUUUCAUUAAUGUAAGAUGUUUGGGAUGUUUAACCCUUCAAUAUAUAUAUUUUAUAUAUAUUUCAAUGAUGAA
Molecule: long non-coding RNA, 555 nt
Organism: Carya illinoinensis
Lineage: Eukaryota; Viridiplantae; Streptophyta; Magnoliopsida; Fagales; Juglandaceae
Exons: 3
Source: RefSeq, a predicted model, not a curated record